AGCAGCCGCGGUAAUACGUAGGGUGCGAGCGUUAAUCGGAAUUACUGGGCGUAAAGCGUGCGCAGGCGGUUUUGUAAGACAGGCGUGAAAUCCCCGAGCUCAACUUGGGAAUGGCGCUUGUGACUGCAAGGCUAGAGUAUGUCAGAGGGGGGUAGAAUUCCACGUGUAGCAGUGAAAUGCGUAGAGAUGUGGAGGAAUACCGAUGGCGAAGGCAGCCCCCUGGGACGUCACUGACGCUCAUGCACGAAAGCGUGGGGAGCAAACAGGAUUAGAUACC
RNAcentral lists this ribosomal RNA (277 nucleotides) under Cupriavidus sp. BacPol1. RNAcentral describes it as "partial 16S ribosomal RNA". It matches the Rfam family "Bacterial small subunit ribosomal RNA", at positions 510 to 786 of the family's 1533-position model. The record is from RNAcentral. Lineage: Bacteria; Pseudomonadati; Pseudomonadota; Betaproteobacteria; Burkholderiales; Burkholderiaceae.